This 755-nucleotide ribosomal RNA is filed under the name uncultured bacterium. RNAcentral's name for it is "bacterial SSU rRNA". It matches the Rfam family "Bacterial small subunit ribosomal RNA", at positions 74 to 814 of the family's 1533-position model. The record is from RNAcentral.
UUGACGUUGGAUUACCAGUGAGCGGCGGACGGGUGAGUAACACGUGGGCAACCUGCCCUGAAGUGGGGGAUAACAUCUGGAAACAGGUGCUAAUACCGCGUAACAACGAAAACCACAUGGUUUUCGUUUCAAAGAUGGUUUCGGCUAUCGCUUCAGGAUGGGCCCGCGGUGCAUUAGCUAGUUGGUAAGGUAACGGCUUACCAAGGCAAUGAUGCAUAGCCGAGUUGAGAGACUGAUCGGCCACAAUGGAACUGAGACACGGUCCAUACUCCUACGGGAGGCAGCAGUAGGGAAUCUUCCACAAUGGGCGCAAGCCUGAUGGAGCAACACCGCGUGAGUGAAGAAGGGUUUCGGCUCGUAAAGCUCUGUUGUUGGAGAAGAACGUGCGUGAGAGUAACUGUUCACGCAGUGACGGUAUCCAACCAGAAAGUCACGGCUAACUACGUGCCAGCAGCCGCGGUAAUACGUAGGUGGCAAGCGUUAUCCGGAUUUAUUGGGCGUAAAGCGAGCGCAGGCGGUUGCUUAGGUCUGAUGUGAAAGCCUUCGGCUUAACCGAAGAAGGGCAUCGGAAACCGGGCAACUUGAGUGCAGAAGAGGACAGUGGAACUCCAUGUGUAGCGGUGGAAUGCGUAGAUAUAUGGAAGAACACCAGUGGCGAAGGCGGCUGUCUGGUCUGCAACUGACGCUGAGGCUCGAAAGCAUGGGGUAGCGAACAGGAUUAGAUACCCUGGUAGUCCAUGCCGUAAACGAUGAGU